RNAcentral lists this transfer RNA (68 nucleotides) under Pseudanthias squamipinnis (sea goldie). RNAcentral describes it as "tRNA-Ser(AGY)". RNAcentral also lists the same sequence under 6 other names. The record is from RNAcentral. Lineage: Eukaryota; Metazoa; Chordata; Actinopteri; Perciformes; Anthiadidae.
GAGAGAGGCUCGCCAGCAACGUGGACUGCUAACCUUCGACACCUUGGUUGGACUCCAAGGCUCACUCG